This 493-nucleotide ribosomal RNA is filed under the name uncultured bacterium. RNAcentral's name for it is "partial 16S ribosomal RNA". It matches the Rfam family "Bacterial small subunit ribosomal RNA", at positions 29 to 523 of the family's 1533-position model. The record is from RNAcentral.
AUUGAACGCUGGCGGCAUGCUUUACACAUGCAAGUCGAACGGUAACAGGUUAAGCUGACGAGUGGCGAACGGGUGAGUAAUGCAUCGGAACGUGCCCGAUCGUGGGGGAUAACGCAGCGAAAGCUGCGCUAAUACCGCAUACGAUCUGAGGAUGAAAGCGGGGGACCGUAAGGCCUCGCGCGAUCGGAGCGGCCGAUGUCAGAUUAGGUAGUUGGUGGGGUAAAGGCCCACCAAGCCGACGAUCUGUAGCUGGUCUGAGAGGACGACCAGCCACACUGGGACUGAGACACGGCCCAGACUCCUACGGGAGGCAGCAGUGGGGAAUUGUGGACAAUUGGCGAAAGCCUGAUCCAGCAAUGCCGCGUGCAGGAAGAAGGCCUUCGGGUUGUAAACUGCUUUUGUACGGAGCGAAAAGGUCCUUUCUAAUACAGGGGGCUCAUGACGGUACCGUAAGAAUAAGCACCGGCUAACUACGUGCCAGCAGCCGCAGUAA